This 1378-nucleotide ribosomal RNA is filed under the name Micrococcus luteus. RNAcentral describes it as "partial 16S ribosomal RNA". It matches the Rfam family "Bacterial small subunit ribosomal RNA", at positions 73 to 1313 of the family's 1533-position model. The record is from RNAcentral. Lineage: Bacteria; Bacillati; Actinomycetota; Actinomycetes; Micrococcales; Micrococcaceae.
GCCCAGCUUGCUGGGUGGAUUAGUGGCGAACGGGUGAGUAACACGUGAGUAACCUGCCCUUAACUCUGGGAUAAGCCUGGGAAACUAGGUCUAAUACCGGAUAGGAGCGCCUACCGCAUGGUGGGUGUUGGAAAGAUUUAUCGGUUGUGGAUGGAUCACCUCCUUAGCANCUUGUUGGUGAGGUAAUGGCUCACCAAGGCGACGACGGGUAGCCGGCCUGAAAGGGUGACCGGCCACACUGGGACUGAGACACGGCCCAGACUCCUACGGGAGGCAGCAGUGGGGAAUAUUGCACAAUGGGCGAAAGCCUGAUGCAGCGACGCCGCGUGAGGGAUGACGGCCUUCGGGUUGUAAACCUCUUUCAGUAGGGAAGAAGCGAAAGUGACGGUACCUGCAGAAGAAGCACCGGCUAACUACGUGCCAGCAGCCGCGGUAAUACGUAGGGUGCGAGCGUUAUCCGGAAUUAUUGGGCGUAAAGAGCUCGUAGGCGGUUUGUCGCGUCUGUCGUGAAAGUCCGGGGCUUAACCCCGGAUCUGCGGUGGGUACGGGCAGACUAGAGUGCAGUAGGGGAGACUGGAAUUCCUGGUGUAGCGGUGGAAUGCGCAGAUAUCAGGAGGAACACCGAUGGCGAAGGCAGGUCUCUGGGCUGUAACUGACGCUGAGGAGCGAAAGCAUGGGGAGCGAACAGGAUUAGAUACCCUGGUAGUCCAUGCCGUAAACGUUGGGCACUAGGUGUGGGGACCAUUCCACGGUUUCCGCGCCGCAGCUAACGCAUUAAGUGCCCCGCCUGGGGAGUACGGCCGCAAGGCUAAAACUCAAAGGAAUUGACGGGGGCCCGCACAAGCGGCGGAGCAUGCGGAUUAAUUCGAUGCAACGCGAAGAACCUUACCAAGGCUUGACAUGUUCUCGAUCGCCGUAGAGAUACGGUUUCCCCUUUGGGGCGGGUUCACAGGUGGUGCAUGGUUGUCGUCAGCUCGUGUCGUGAGAUGUUGGGUUAAGUCCCGCAACGAGCGCAACCCUCGUUCCAUGUUGCCAGCACGUAAUGGUGGGGACUCAUGGGAGACUGCCGGGGUCAACUCGGAGGAAGGUGAGGACGACGUCAAAUCAUCAUGCCCCUUAUGUCUUGGGCUUCACGCAUGCUACAAUGGCCGGUACAAUGGGUUGCGAUACUGUGAGNGUGGAGCUAAUCCCAAAAAGCCGGUCUCAGUUCGGAUUGGGGUNUNGAGUUUGAUACUGNGCUCAGGAUGAACGCUGGCGGCGUGCUUAACACAUGCAAGUCGAACGAUGAAGCCCAGCUUGCUGGGUGGAUUAGUGGCGAACGGGUGAGUAACACGUGAGUAACCUGCCCUUAACUCUGGGAUAAGCCUGGGAAACUAGG